UUGAAUGGUCUUUGACCUUCUACCCCUCAAACCUGUGGAAGCAAAAAAUGUGCUUCGGCGUCCGUUUUGGGCGCCGCUUUUAUGCAUAAAUCUGUGUGUUGUCUGAAUCAUACACAAGAAUCA
Molecule: unclassified non-coding RNA, 123 nt
Filed under: uncultured Archaeorhizomyces
Lineage: Eukaryota; Fungi; Ascomycota; Archaeorhizomycetes; Archaeorhizomycetales; Archaeorhizomycetaceae
Description: sequence contains ITS1
Source: RNAcentral